GAAAAAGAAUCUGAUGACGCCUU
RNAcentral lists this non-coding RNA (23 nucleotides) under Cricetulus griseus (Chinese hamster). The record is from RNAcentral. Lineage: Eukaryota; Metazoa; Chordata; Mammalia; Rodentia; Cricetidae.